Xiphophorus couchianus (Monterrey platyfish) is the source of this 900-nucleotide long non-coding RNA. RefSeq lists it as uncharacterized. The transcript is spliced from 3 exons. The record is from RefSeq and is a predicted model, not a curated record. Lineage: Eukaryota; Metazoa; Chordata; Actinopteri; Cyprinodontiformes; Poeciliidae.
CAUGGCUUAAGCCUUGCUUUUACUAGUGCCUUGAUAGAACCUGAACUUGAAACCACUUUUAAGGGUUCCAGCAUUCCUGUCAUUUCAAAACAACCCAUCCUAUGCAAAGGGACUUGCAUGUUCCAAGGGGGGACAGUGUAACCCAGUGUUUAAAAACACAAGAAAAAAAUAAUAGAUGUUGAUUCAAUGUCUUAUUCUACCAAAAUAGCUAAAAGGUAAUUACGUAAAUCUUCAAAAAAUGUGAAAUAUGCUUUUAGUGUUAGCUUCUAUUGACAGAUUAGGCAGCCAAUGGCUGGCGCGGUCUGGUUUCGUGUCGGCCAAUGGGGUUGAUCGUCCCGCCCCUUUUUAACAGCUGGCGGUUGUUUCGUUCGGAGCGCGGCAGACAGGCUUGAAAGCUAACAGCUGACGGUUGCUUCGCUCAGAACGCUUGAGAACAGCUGACGGUUGUUUCGCUGCGAACGCUUGAGAGCUAACAGCUGACGGUCGUUUCCGUAAAGAGGUAGAAAGAAACUGACGAAUCUGGAAAUUGAUCUCGGAGGGUUUCCCCCGUGAACAGCUGAAGCCCGAAAAAUAGCCGUUGACAGCUCGGAGCAUCGGUCAGGGGUUUUUUUUGGAGUUUGUACAGUACACUUUUGGCUUGGAGGGCCAAAGAUUCCAAGACCCUCUUCUCCUGAAACUGGAUGGCGAGCCCCAGCCCAGAGGACCAGGCGCACGGGUAGAUAGUGACCCGACUGGUCACCAGCUGAGAGACUUUGAGACUGAAGAAUUAAUUCAUUGGAGACUGAAGUAUUCAAUUUAUUUAUUUAUUUAUUUUUUUUAAAAGCGCGCAGUAUUUGUUUGUCUGUUUUAAAUGUGGAUCCACAAUUGUUUAUUAUAUUAAAUAUUUGCUCUUUUCUUGUA